AUCCCAUGGUGGGGGCAGGCCUGGAUGUACUCCUGGAGCCUUUCCCAAGCCUCAUGAAUGGAUUCGAGUGAAGUCUGCUGGAAGUUUGAUAUCUUUCCCUGAGAGC
This 106-nucleotide small nucleolar RNA is filed under the name Sorghum bicolor (sorghum). Its description in RNAcentral is "Plant small nucleolar RNA R71". It matches the Rfam family "Plant small nucleolar RNA R71". From Rfam's summary of the family: R71 is a member of the C/D box family of snoRNAs containing the C (UGAUGA) and D (CUGA) box motifs. Multiple nearly identical copies of this snoRNA have been identified in Arabidopsis, and it is thought to function as a 2'-O-ribose methylation guide for 18S ribosomal RNA. The record is from Rfam by way of RNAcentral. Lineage: Eukaryota; Viridiplantae; Streptophyta; Magnoliopsida; Poales; Poaceae.